Spinacia oleracea (spinach) is the source of this 5007-nucleotide RNA transcript. RefSeq lists it as uncharacterized. Lineage: Eukaryota; Viridiplantae; Streptophyta; Magnoliopsida; Caryophyllales; Amaranthaceae. The transcript has 20 exons. The record is from RefSeq and is a predicted model, not a curated record.
CACGCGCAGAAGUAUGUGCCUACUGGCUACUGCAUCUCUUAUUUGUUGACUGUCAACAAAUUUGUUCUUUCUUUUCCAUCGGAGAGAAACGAAAGCUAGAGCUUCUGGGGUAUUCAAACAUUUCCAGAAAAUUGAAUUCCAAAGACACCCACUCCGAGAUUAUGGUUAAGGUUAAUCCAGGAGAACCUGUAAAGUCAAGCUGGCAGCGGAAGAUUGAUCAUAAUGAAAAAAAACCUUCAGAGUUCGGUCUAAGCAUCCGAGAGUGUGUUCAAUUGGCCCCAAUAGGUUAUAGGCUUUGGCGCCAUGUCCGAGAAGAAGGUGGCAGAGGAAGGGGGGCAAUUAUUGAUCCUUUCUUCAAGCGAACUGUUACAUCUGAUCAUGGAGUUCCCCUUGGAGGAAUUGGAGCUGGGAGCAUAGGACGAAGUUACAAAGGCGAGUUUCAGCGCUGGCAACUUUUUCCUAGAACAUGUGAAGAUAAACCUGUUUUGGCAAACCAAUUUUCUGUUUUUGUCUCACGUCCAAAUGGUGAAAAAUACUCUUCUGUGCUUUGUCCACCAAAUCCGGAGAUGCUUAAGGGAACCACUACAGAAGGUAUUGGAACUUGGGAUUGGAAUUUGAAAGGAAAUAGCUCUACAUAUUAUGCUCUCUAUCCAAGGUCUUGGACUGUAUAUGAUGGUGAACCUGAUCCGUCACUUAGUAUUGUUUGUCGUCAGCUUUCACCUGUCAUUCCCCACAAUUAUAAGGAGAGCAGCUUUCCUGUAGCUGUUUUUACUUUCACUCUAUCAAACUUUGGGAAUGUAGCUGCAGAAGUGAGCUUGCUAUUCACAUGGGAGAAUUCCGUGGGUGGUAAUUCCGGAUCUACCGGUAAUCACUACAAUUCAAAGAUCACGAUGAAGGAUGGCAUGCGUGGUGUAGUUUUACAUCAUAAGACAGCAGACGGACAACACCCUGUUUCCUUUGCCAUUGCCGCAGAGGGAAAUGAUGGGGUUCAUAUCUCGGAAUGUCCAUGCUUUGUGAUUUCUGGAGAUUCAGAAGGUAUUACUGCAGAGGGCAUGUGGAAAGAGAUGAAAGAGCAUGGAUCCUUCGAUAACCUAAACUGUCCAGAGACAUCAGCUCCAUCAAAGCGGUCAUCUUGUAUUGGAGCUGCAGUUGCAGCUUCUGUAAUUGUACCAUCAGGAUCUACACGUACUAUUACAUUUUCAUUAUCAUGGGAUUGCCCUGAGGUGACAUUCUCGAAAGGAAGAACGUACACCAGGCGCUAUACAAAGUUCUAUGGUACUUCUGGUAAUGCAGCAGCGGAUAUCGCACACGAUGCUAUAAUUGAAAAUCAGAAUUGGGAAUCCCAAAUUGAUGCAUGGCAGAGACCUAUACUUGAAGACAAGCGAUUUCCAGAAUGGUAUUCAGUUACUCUUUUUAAUGAGCUAUAUUAUCUAAAUGCUGGGGGAACUGUGUGGACAGAUGGCUCUCCUCCUUUACAGAGUACUGUGUCAAUUAGAGAACAUGAAUUUUCACUUGAGCAGUCAACAUCCAACUCUAUAAACACUACAAAUAUCUCUACAGGGAAGGAUACUGCUGUUGAUAUCCUUGAGAAAUUGACUUCAAUACUUGAGCAAGCGCACACAACAGCUAAAUCUAAUUCUGCUUUUGGUCCAAAUUUACUUUUAGAAGGGGAAGAAAAUAUUGGUCAAUUUCUUUACUAUGAAGGGAUUGAGUAUCAUAUGUGGAACACAUAUGAUGUUCAUUUUUAUGCAUCUUUUUCUUUGGUGAUGCUAUUCCCAGAGCUUGAACUUAGCAUCCAGAGAGACUUUGCUGCAGCAGUUCUAAUGCAUGAUCCUAGUAAAAUGAAACUUUUACAUGAUGGGAAAUGGGCAUUAAGAAAAGUUCUUGGAGCUGUCCCACAUGAUAUUGGGCUUAAUGAUCCAUGGUUUGAAGUAAAUGCUUACAAUCUCCAUAACACAGACCGGUGGAAAGAUUUAAACCCAAAAUUUGUACUCCAGGUAUACAGGGAUGUCGUAGCCACAGGAGACAAGAAAUUCGCACAAGCUGUUUGGCCUUCUGUUUAUGUGGCACUGGCCUAUAUGGAUCAGUUUGACAAGGAUGGAGAUGGCAUGAUUGAGAAUGAUGGCUUUCCUGAUCAGACGUAUGACACAUGGUCGGUCUUGGGUGUGAGUGCAUAUUGUGGGGGGCUGUGGGUUGCAGCACUUCAAGCGGCUUCAGCGCUAGCUCGAGAAAUUGGUGAUAAGGGUUCUCAAGAUUUUUUUUGGUUUAAAUUUCAGAAGGCAAAGGCUGUUUAUCAGAAGUUAUGGAAUGGUUCGUAUUUCAAUUAUGACAGCAGCGGUGGUAGUAAUAGUGCAUCUAUUCAAGCCGAUCAAUUGGCUGGACAAUGGUACGCUCGUGCUUGUGGUCUAGCACCAGUUGUUGAUGAGGAGAAGGCAAAAUGCGCCCUUGCCAAUAUUUUUGAGUUUAAUGUGAUGAAAGUGAAAGAGGGGCGACGAGGGGCUGUCAAUGGAAUGCUUCCCGAUGGAAAUGUUGACUUGUCAUCAAUGCAGUCAAGAGAGAUAUGGUCUGGUGUCACCUAUGCCCUUGCUGCCACCAUGAUUCAAGAAGGAUUACUUGACAUGGGUUUUCAGACUGCUUAUGGAGUUUUUGAAGCUGUCUGGUCACACAAAGGACUUGGGUCACGUGGGUCCUCUUACCCCCAAGCUAAGAUUGCGGAUGAUGAAGGCUUGAGGAUAUCUGUAGGUGGCACGUAACUCUAGCGCAUACUACACGGGUGAAGAGGCUUUCUGGCCAAACAACUUGAAAGAAACAAGGUCAAACUCUUCCAUGGGGUACUUACUAAAGUAGAAACUUUACCAGCAGUUUUUGAUGGGGUACUUUCACUCAUAAAAGGAACCAAAGCCAUGGAAAGCCUAGUUCUUGUGGGUGGUACAUCUCCUCCUUGCACAUGAGAAGACUGUUGAACAAGAGGCUCUUGCUCCUUCUAUUGUGGUUGAGACUCUUCUCCAUUAUGGGGGUAAAAGCUAUGGAGUCAUCAACAACAAUACAGUAUUCGCCUCCUAAUGGAGAUGCCCCUGAAUCAACAGUCUCAUCGAAGGUUUGGGGUUAACUCAGCGUUUUCCUCACAGCCUCACCUAUCAACAUCUGAAGAAUGAGGGCCAUUUUGUUCCUUUUCCUUUAUCGGGGCAGUUGGUUUGCUCAGUAGUAUCUUGUAAACCUUCAUUAGGCACAUCUUCUCUAACAGGAGAAGUAAUUGGAGGGGUUAGUCUGACCUUCUUCCUCAUAGUCCAACUCUGUGACCUCGGUUUCUUUAACUAAGGGAACCUUUGGAGUUGGUAAUUUAGUAGAGCUAGCUCGAACUUGAUCACCAUUUUCUCAAACAGGCAGCAAACCAUUUGUUGUUGUGUCUUCACUCAAAUGAGAGGCUUCCGGCUUCCUUAGAUUUGAUCUUCAUUUUGAGAUGAUCACACGGGUAAAUGUUGCACUACUUCACACGGGUCUGGUCUGUAAACUUCAGGUAUUUCGGGUUCAAGAGUUUCAAGAUUGUUAGUCUUUCUUGGCAACCUUAAGGGUGAUCGUCUUCUUCCUUCAGCCUUGCUGAGUUUGAGGUUGUUUUCCCGUCUGCUUGGCAAUCAGGGGUUCAUCAUCAGAAUUAGUCAGCGCCAAGAGUUAGAAGGAAAUAAGAUAAAAACUAAGAACUAAUCGCAUUUAAAGAUGGCUGUGGGCCGGGCCGGCCCGAAGCCCGACCCGACCCGGCACGAAAAAAGCACGGCCCGGCACGAGCACGCAAAAAGCACGGCCCGGCACGGGCACGAAGUCGUGGGCCGUGGGCCUUAAUUUUUUGGAAAAAGCACGAAAAGGCACGGCACGACUCGACCCGGCACGACAAAGCACGUUAAAUUUAUUCAAAUUAGCCUUAGGCAUGACGGGCCGGCCCGACCCGGCACGAAAAGCACGUGGGCUUGGUCCGGGCCUGGGCCUUGUUUUAAACUUUUCGUCACGGCACGAAACAACGUGGGCCUGGUGUGGGCCCCGCCCGGUUAGGCCCACGGCCCGUGGGCUUGGCAUGAAGCCCGGCCCGGCCCACAACCAUCUUUUCUAGGCCAUGAGAGGAGUAAUCUAGACCAAGGCCUAGAAGUCAAGAUUGUAACCAUUUAAUCAUGUUUAAUAAUUUGCAUAAGUACACAGAGUUUCCUUGUCAAAAUGGAGGGGAUUUUGUUAACACAUUUUAAUCUUGCCAUUAAAGGAAUAUGAAAAAGCCUCACAAUAGGUCCAUGAAUAACAGACUAAGGUCCAUAACGUAUAGACACAUAUCCGCCAACCAAAGCCCAAAAGCUAGUUGAAGAAAGCGGGAUAAUCAAAGCAAAAGAAGAAUGGAUGUUGGCCACGUUCUCCAGGAAUAACGAAGCACUCUCUCACAAUGACGGUUAUGGGGAAUAACCCCCAUCUCUCCUAAACCUCCCUCAAUCAAUCAUCAGAGAACGACAAACAAUCAAUCAACAUUACAAAUUAGUAUCAACUUUUCUCCGUAGUCCGUAACACUAUAGUCACCUUUAUGUAUCGUACCCUAGGUAAUCGCCACCUUUAUGUAUUGAACCAUUAUCGGUUAGCGUUAUUUGAAUUUCCAAGCAUAGACUCAUGAUCGUGAUUUAUGUUUGUUCUGCUUGAGAUAUAUUUGUUAACGAAACUAUUUGUUCUCUAGUUUCUGUCACAUUGAAGUGUUUCAUUUUCUGCUUCUCUGAAAUUGUUGAUUCACUUUGUAAUUUUGUCUUAAAUUACUCGUACAUGAGCGAGACCUUCAAUCAGAUAAGGCCAACCAUAUAUUAAGGACAUCCCCUUAAGACACUUUGAUCACCCUAAAAGAUUAAGGUACUCAUUUCAAACUCCAGAAGCUUGGAAUACCAAUGAUCAGUACAGGUCGCUGUGCUAUAUGCGACCUUUGGCUGUAUGGGCAAUUGAAUGGGCAUUACAUCUGCCAGAGCCCUCUCAGUUGGAGGUAACACCGGA